AUUGAACGCUGGCGGCAUGCCUUACACAUGCAAGUCGAACGGCAGCAGGCUAAUCGGGGUGCCGGAGAGUGGCGGACGGGUGGGUAAUGCAUCGGAACGUCCCCGGCUGAGGGGGCUAACCGGCCGAAAGAGGGGCAAAUACCGCAUGAACUCGGACGAGCAACGCGGGGGAGCAUCGGGCCUCGGGACCUCGGGCGAGCGGAUGGGCGGAUUGGCUAGUUGGUGGGGUAAAGGCCCACCAAGGCGACGAUCGGUAGCUGGUCUGAGAGGAUGAUCCGCCACACUGGGACUGAGACACGGUCCAGACUCCUACGGGAGGCAGCAGUGGGGAAUCUUGGACAAUGGGCGCAAGCCUGAUCCAGCAAUGCCGCGUGGGUGAAGAAGGCCUUCGGGUUGUAAAGCCCUUUUGGCGGGGAAGAAAUCGGUCAGGCGAAUAGUCUGGCCGGAUGACGGUACCCGCAGAAGAAGCACCGGCUAACUACGUG
Molecule: ribosomal RNA, 485 nt
Filed under: uncultured bacterium
Lineage: Bacteria
Description: partial 16S ribosomal RNA
Rfam family: Bacterial small subunit ribosomal RNA
Source: RNAcentral